RNAcentral lists this ribosomal RNA (409 nucleotides) under uncultured bacterium. RNAcentral describes it as "bacterial SSU rRNA". It matches the Rfam family "Bacterial small subunit ribosomal RNA", at positions 29 to 435 of the family's 1533-position model. The record is from RNAcentral.
AGUGAACGCUGGCGGCAGGCCUAACACAUGCAAGUCGAACGGCAGCACGGCAGUAGCAAUACUGUGGGUGGCGAGUGGCGGACGGGUGAGGAAUACAUCGGGAUCUACCCUGUUGUGGGGGAUAACGUAGGGAAACUUACGCUAAUACCGCAUAAGAACUGAGGUUGAAAGCGGCGGACCGCAAGGCGUCGCGCGAUUGGAUGAACCGAUGUCCGAUUAGCUAGUUGGCGGGGUAAAGGCCCACCAAGGCGACGAUCGGUAGCUGGUCUGAGAGGACGACCAGCCACACUGGAACUGAGACACGGCCCAGACUCCUACGGGAGGCAGCAGUGGGGAAUAUUGGACAAUGGGCGCAAGCCUGAUCCAGCCAUGCCGCGUGGGUGAAGAAGGCCUCGGUUGUAAGACCUUU